CACAUUAAAAUACAAUGGCGUUUCUUUCCUGAGAUGCCAUGCCUACUUAGUUAUUGCCUUUAUUUUGUAGCUUCCUGUAAUCACUGCGUUGUUUUAGUUUGAAAGGAACCUGGCCGGAUGCGAAUAACGUGGCGUGACUGUAACGGAAAAGUAACGAAAACAGCAAUUUACACAACUAAACAAUGGUGAUUUGUGUGACAUUGGCAUUGGAUUGGGGAGUUUCCCCACCCUCUCAUCGAGGAGGUACUUUAGGGUUGUGGCUCUGCAGACUACUGUUGACAGUAGCUCAAGUUGAUGCUAUUCGCCGAUUGAAACUUUGCAGCGAUCAGUACAACGUGACGAGGGAACUAUAACAAUCAGCGCUCCGCCCAGGGUCUAUCACAUCAGCUCUGCAAUCUACGUUAUCCUCAAGUGUGAGGUCCGCAUACAACAAUCCGCUACAUCACCUGUGUUUCUCUGUGUACCUGCAGCUCUGCCAAAGUUCUGUCUGAAGCGAGAAAAGAACUAUGUGAGUGGCAGUGAGUGUCUACAUCUGCAUUUAUGCCUGUGUAUGUAAAUGUGUCACCAUGAAGCACCAGUCUAUCUCCCGAUGGCUGAACCAGCUAGGACUGCCGCAGUACUGCGCAGCAUUGGAACAGGAAUAUGAUGGUGUAGAGGACCUUCUCCACCUAACGGAGCAUGAUCUUUUGGAGCUUGGAGUCCACAAUCAUCUCCACCGCCUGCACCUUCUCACUUCUUUAUGUCUCCUCCAGGAGCGAGAGAGGAGGAGAGGUAUUCAAGUACACCCCCACAUAGACACAUGGUUGGCCAAAGAUUAUCUUUCCUUAUCUAUUCCAUCAACUUGUUGAUUCUGGCUCUGUGUCAGAGUCCCUACGUUUCCAUCUCUCUGUCUGUCUCUCUUAGUACCCAAAGACCGAGACGGAUAGCAUUAGUGUCAUGUAAAGGCAUGCUUAUGCCUGGGGGGUCUUUUGUUGGUGGUGGGGGUUGUCUGCUG
RNAcentral lists this long non-coding RNA (994 nucleotides) under Mastacembelus armatus (zig-zag eel). Its description in RNAcentral is "lncRNA (ENSMAMG00000025619.1)". The record is from RNAcentral. Lineage: Eukaryota; Metazoa; Chordata; Actinopteri; Synbranchiformes; Mastacembelidae.